UGGCUCUUUCAAUGACUGCUACACUCUAAAAAAAUGGUGCUGUAUAGCACUAAAAGCGGUUCUUUGGUUUGUAAUCAUAGGGGAGCCACUUUUAAUGCUAUU
Long non-coding RNA from Sinocyclocheilus grahami, 102 nucleotides. RefSeq lists it as uncharacterized. The transcript is spliced from 3 exons. NCBI's taxonomy places the organism in Eukaryota, Metazoa, Chordata, Actinopteri, Cypriniformes, Cyprinidae. The record is from RefSeq and is a predicted model, not a curated record.